This 9911-nucleotide long non-coding RNA is filed under the name Drosophila guanche. The record is from RNAcentral. Lineage: Eukaryota; Metazoa; Arthropoda; Insecta; Diptera; Drosophilidae.
AAGAGCAAGAACGAAGCCCCAUCGGCCGCCAGAGUGGUAGCGAGAACGGCAGUGGAGAGGAGUGGAGUGUAGGUAGAGUGAGUGGAGCUCGUUGCUCGCGGUGUUGUUUUUAGGACGAUGACUCACACAUACACAAACAUAUGCACAGCAAGAGGCAAGAGUGGGAGGGAGAGAACUAGCACUUGAACUGUUGCUUAUCAGACUGAAAUGAGAGCACUUUUGCCUCUGCCUCUGCCUGCAUGUGGUGUCCAUGUGUGCAGUAUGUUUCUGGCGAAGCACCCUGUAACUACGUUUUGCGCCGCUUGCGUCCAGCAUUCUUGCACGUCGUCAAAUGGCAAAGACAAGCCAACGGCAACCGCAAUAAAUGGAUAAAAGCCUCAGGAGUCGAAGCGUUAGAUACUCUUGCAGAUCGACACUUUUCUGCGGGAACUGCAUAUGCAGUGCACAUGUGUCCACAGCAAGACAAACCGCUGGUCGAAGUCAUAACUGCCUCUGCAAGAGUAUAAAAUCGUUUAAGAUCAAAAACAAAUGUUUGACCGUUUCUGACAAGCCGCAGUCUGGAGAAGAGAGAUAAAGAGAGAUGGAACGUUCACCCACACCAGCAAGUAAGUACAUACAUACAUAUUUAUGUAUAAGCGCUUGACAUAUUUACGUGACCGCGCGAGAGGGAGAGAGAGAGAGGAAGAACAGCUAAUUGAGAGCUAGAAUCAACGUUGCGCCUGCGUCGCUCUUCGCUUCAAAUUUUUAUUGGAAAUUUCCGUUCUACAGUUUGGAAAUUCCUCUCUCUGGCUUCGGCUCGCGAGUCUUGACAUUUGACAUGACGAUGGGGGAAGUGAUUUUUAUGGGUUUGUUUGUUUCUUGUUGUGGUUACAGUCCCCGUAGCCCCAAAUAUUGCCCAGCCCCCGCAUCGUCACUAUCCAGCACUGAUAAGGGCUCGCUCCCAUGUUUGUGUACAUUUGUUUUAUGAUUUCUCUCUCGUAUUUCACUGUUUACAAUUCAAGCAAAUCGUGAUGGUGUUGAGGCGCGGGGGUCUGGGAGUUCUAUCGCUUUACAUAACACUUGUGGGAACCCGGACAGGGCAACCUUUGCGCCUUGGUCUGGAUUGAUAGCAGCUCCGGGUCCAGUCCAUAAAUUAUCUGGCCCUGUCGUUGAGUAAAUAAACACUUGUUAGAACUAACACAUACGCUUGGGUUCCGAUAGAGUCGUUAUUUGCACUGCAUUUAUCGAGGCUCUCCCUCUGUGGAGAGGCGCUUGUUCACUGCUCCUUCAAGACGCGGUCCUAAUUCAUAGCCUUGUGUGAGUGUGUGUGGUCUAUCAGUGCACACGGAAGUUCCUCUUCUCUUUUCUACUUCCGUGUUUGUGUUCUACCUUGGCUGGGAUGUGGAUCCCAUAGCGGUACAAUUAAGUUCUUCUACCUCUCCCCUUUAGUCCUUUGUCCUGCCUGGAUUUCCGCUACGCAUGCGCUGGAAGCGUGCACAACAUCCGCUCCUCGCGAACCGUUUAGUUCCGUCCCGUUCCGUUCUGAGCCAUUCCCGCAAAUCUUUCGUUUCGCCUUUUGUUGUGCAUUUUACAGUUGGAAUUGCCAUUGUCCCGACAUCCUGGGAACCCAAGCUAUUAACAGGUGUCCCCACCCCAGCUCUCUCUCUCUCUCCCAGGCGAAUCAUUUGCGAAGGUGUGAAACUUAUUCGAAGAGUUUUGAGGGUGGAUCUUUGCUGUUUUUGUCGUCUGAGCAAAAGGGAAUCCUAAUUGAUUUGUUGUUCAUUUGAAUUGUGGAGCAGCUCAACACAAUUAUGAGUUCACUUAGUUAUAAAAUACAUAUGGAAAAUGUACAUAUGAUAACAUAUAAAUAUCCACCAAUUCUGACCCAAUUGCGGUUUUCUGCACACAUCUUUUCGUAUUGUAAUUUUUCUCAGUGAUUUGUGGAGACCGACCUGAUGGUCCAUCGCAUAAUCUACAAGCUGUCAAAGCACUUGACAUAUGUUCUCAAGUACACAUAAAAGAAACCACACAAUUAUGCUACGUAAUCGUUCUCCAUAACAAAGAACACAAAAGACCAAAAAUCAAAAUCGAAUGAGGGCUAUUUUGAGUAUAAUUUCAGUUAAUUGGGGGACAGUCGGAUCAGAACAGAAGAGAUUUGUGGUUUGUGGCUGCCGGUGUGACCCUGGAAACAGAUUUCAUUGGACAUUGACAGUUUUGUCGGUUAUGCAAACCCAAUUUGGGUCACUUCACAGCAGUUGAAAAGAGCUGAAGAGGGCAUUGGAGGGAGGGCUGGGAGGCGCCUCUUCGAGUGAGUUGAAUGUAGGUUAGGUGGAUGCUGAUGCUGCCCAGUGGUGUAGACAGUCAUUGGUGGGGGGGACAGGGAGCUUUGUGCUUAGUGCUUUGGAACCCUGCUGGCAGACGGCACUGCUGGGGAUAAGGAUGAUGCGGCUGUAGCCGUCGGUGGCUUGUCGGGCUUUUGUGCUGCAUCUUGGCUUGUGCCAGCAGCCAGCCCCUUUUGUGUGUGCGUCUGUGUCAUUGAAUGCGUUUGCAUGCUGAGUGGUGCUCAUCCAUGGUCCAUGUUUGAUGGUUUCUACACCAUUUCCGCACCCGUCUCCACCGUCUGCGUUGCCCCAUUUGGACCCCAUUCAGUCACAGAGCUCAUAAUUGAUGUUCAAACUGAUGUUGAGGCUGGGGCAGGAGCAUGAGCACAAGCACUUGCCACAAAUUCUUUCUGCUGCUGGUGCUGCUGGUGCUGGUGCCGAGGAGGCCCUCAAUUGUGACACGUUUUGUCCGGCAUUACUCGCAUUAUUGUUAUUGCUAUUGUGAUUCCGGGCAGAUGAUGGUUUUGUUGUGCCACAUAACAUUGAUUUAAUUAACUUAAAUUAAACAAGCGGAAGCUGUCACAAACAGAGACGCAGACAGAGACAGAGAGAGAGUGCGGGAGAGACAGAAAACUGAGUUCCAUCACGCCUUCAAUGGAGUUCCUGAGCGUGCCACACGUGCCAGGAAAUCAUCUGCUGCUGAGGUGGCAAGAAAUACGUUGCUUCGGGACUAAUUUCCCGGCUCAACAAUGCAGCAGCUACACAUAUUAUUGAGCCACGCGGCAAAGGACGAAAAAUCCAAUGAACGAAGGUACACAAACGAGGGUCUUCGCUCCACAAUGAGGGUCCUGCAAUGAGCAUUACCUUGCUCCAUCCCUCUCCAGCUCCUGCUCAUUCUCGGGGUUGCAGUUGCGUUGCACAUUGAGCCGCAACGAGAGAGAGAGAGAGGACGACUCAUCAGCGGCGUCCUGUUUGGGUAAUUGUUAUCAGUGAUCCUGAAAUGAACGUUACUUUGAGUCCGGGGCCCGGUGUUCUGCCUUCCCUUGGCACGCGCCAAAACGAUCUCUCCCCUCUCUCCUGUUCCCAUCUCGAACAUCUGUUCGUCCUCGUCUUUUUACUUUGGCCUGCAGGACAUGCUCUGGCAUUUCAGUUUCGACUGAACGUCACUUUUUAGUAAUUGAAAGGGAAGCAGAGAUUCCGCUUGUUUUAGGGAACUGUGGGAAAGGUCGCGCGGUUCCUUGGGACCGCCUUCGGGGUCUCAAAUCUGUCAGAAUCUUUCAGUAUAUUUUUAGGAGAAUAUUUAAAAAUUUGACAUUAAUCUUAGGAAUGGAAAAAAACAAUAUUUUUGUUGGUGACAAGCACAAGAAAUAUUUGAAAUGCUAUAAAAAACAAAGCAGAGAAGAACAUGGAGAAAUCAGAAGAAAUCUUUGGGCAAAUUUAAAAUCGUUUUAACACACUCUGAGCAUCAGGGAAUGCUCUUAAAGAUUCUUAGACAUCUUUUGCACCCUUCCUUUUGAAGUGCUCUACCCUAUAGUCCACUCAAACUCAAAUGCUCUUCCAAAACUCACUCAAAAUUACGCUCCACUCAACUCACUUCCUUGAGUCGGAGCGAGGCUGGGCGUGAAAUGUGCCAGCCCCGGAGUUCCAUUGAAAUCAGCGGCAGAGCAAAGUUCUCUAACCAUUUUCAUGGUUGCCAGCAAAUUAUCUAUUCGGGGUUUUCUAAGAGACUAGAUUCUGGACUGUGGGCCCCGGCCGCGAUGGCCAAAACCGAGCAGCGCUGACCACAGCAAGUGUCGACCAGAGGAUGACACUCCCCGGAGGAGAGUCCUGGUCCACCACUCAUAAACACAUUAUGCAUGCCGCCCUGGGGGGUGCUCGGCCUGAUCGCCGGAUCACUAUUUUUGCUGUGAGUCGUUGUGAAUGCGAAAAAGUGUCAAUAAAACCAUAACGCGUUUUCCUGGAAAGCGUAAAAUCAGGUAACGCCCACCACUGACAUGCCGGAACCUUCGCUCUAUCUACCCGACUUUGAGUCCGACUUCGACUUCGACUUCGACUCUGAGCCUGUGUCGUCCGGACGACACCGGACCGACAGACAGUCUUGUUUUGACAAUUUCCAUUCUUUGAACGAUUUUUGUAGGCGAACCAUAAAGCGAUUAUGAUUGGGAAAAUAGUUUUGGGAAAGUAAUUCUACUUUGUUCCUCGAAGGAAAGCAGAAACUAAUUACCGCUGAUGAUACGCUGUUUGUUCGAAACUCGACCAAAAAAUGAACCUCGUUCUGCAUAAAUAAACCAUUUAUUAAAAGUAUCACUCGGCCAGAACGAAUCGAACAAGAAGGCUCGGCUCUGCUAGCUUGAAGUCUUGGGGGUUGUCUUGUAGCUUGAUAGGAAAGGCAGGAAUCGGAUCGCAUGGCAGCCCGUGGCCAGGUGUGCGCCGAGUCGUGUGACGACACAUCUCACAGCUCACAGCUCACAGCUCAGGAAAGGACUUAUUUUUUUAUGCAUGCGUACGAGUAAAAUCCUUCUUGGCUUGGGUCUGGCCUGAGACAAAAAAAGAAACAGGAGAAAAGUUCGCUGCGCAUGCGCAGCCCUGUGCCACCACCCCUUGGCGAGUUGCCUUUGUUUGACGCUUGUGAAAUCUUUUGCGAAAUGUACAACCAGAGGGGUGGCUUUGCCAGUUGCUGCCGCAGCCGAAGGGACUGGGGGAGGAGCAGCAGCAGCAAGAGAGGGUUUCCAGAGGUCGCUGAGGCGCAACGACCUUUCGCUGGGCGCUCGAUUCAUUUCAUUUCGGGGUUUUCUUUUCCUUUGCUUGCUGCUUUUGCGUUUCGUUUGCAGCUGUUGUUUUUGCUUGAACGAAAGAUUUUUCUUAAAGACACCCCACCCCGUAAUAAAAAAAACCUUCCCUCUGCCCCUCCCCUGCCCAGUACAGCUCCCUCCCUGUCUUGGUUGUGUGAAACGCGUGUGAAAGUUCUGUAUUCCUGCCACAGCCACGCUUCAGCCAUUUUGUUUCUGGCUCCUGGAUCAGGGAUUCCUCCAUGCCGAUCCGAUCCGAUCCGAUCCGAUGCGAGCUGCGACGCAGUUGGAACUAGUCGUCUGGGUGGAGGGCAUGUGUGGCAGAAGCGUGUGCAGAGGAGAGGACCAGUCCUUUUUGGAACAAGCAAACAAAAGAAGUUUGCCAAAGAAAUUACGGUUCACUGGAAUCCAGAUUGUAGUCGUAAAUUAUGGAUUCCUAUUCAUACUUUAUAUAUGAUCCAAGCAGCAGUACUACAGCCGCCAGUUCCAUCGAUUUUGCACAGAUUUUAUGGCCAGGAAUCAUGUUUAUAAUCGUUGGAGUUGUAUGCUUUUUUUUGGGCCAUGUUUUUGAAAUAGAAUAAUUGAAAUUGGGUGAAUCGUAGAGGUAACCUACGGGGGGAAGAAAGGCCUUGAGCUGUUUGGUGUUCGCCCAAGUCUUUGGUUUCCUCAUUAAUGUCUCUGAGUACUUACAACAAAAUGCUGGCUGGGCCAAGUCAAAUGUAGGCGAAUGUCCAUGUCCUGACCUUGAUGGGAUGGCCGCUAAUUGCUUUAUGGUACAAAAGUGUACGUGUACGAGCAUGGCCUCGAGGCAAGGUUACGUUUUAUGAUUUGGCAAAUUUCCACUGGCCGGGCGAUGAGUUCCGUGUAAGGGACUGCGCAUGAAAGGCUGCUGAAGCGGAUGGACAUGGACGUGGACGCGAAAGGAUGCGCAAAGUGAGGAAGGCUGCGAAAGGAACCCAGAAGGAUGCAAGAAAGGAUAACUUUAUGAGAGGCUCGUAAAGACCCGUUGAGCAUUCGACCAUUGAGCAAUGGGUGAUUAUUUGCUUUGGUCACAAUAAAGGCGACGGGUGGCCAGAAUAAUGCUAGCAUAUCCUUGCAAUCCUCAAGCCAUUAGCAUGGCGAUUAGCGGCUUUUGCAUGGCUGCUUCGGCUCGCAGAGGGAAAGGGCUUCAACCGGACUUCCAGGAACGCCUGGGACCUCUUUUACUGGCUUCUUGCAGAAUAAUUUUUUAUGUUUUGCGUAAAAAAGUUCCUUAGAUUUGCGUAAAAAACGUUUGCCGACGAUUAGAGAAGUCAAUUUUGAUUCCAGGAACAUUCGUUGCGUCCUUUUACGGCGACUGUCAAAGGCUUUGUCCGACUGUAUCCCCGGUACAGGAUUGAGGCAAUGUUAUGCAAGCUUGUCCAGGGCUCUGGAUGGACGGCUGGGCUGCAGCUGAUUUCUCUGGAAAGGUGUCGCCUCCUUUUUCCUGGAAAAAGAUUUCCUUUUACCAUAGGAAAACCAAAGCGAAGGAAGGGGAGGCCAUCAUAAAGAAUUCCUUCCCUUAUCCAGACGAUAAGCUGACAAAAUUUCUUAUCAAAACAAAUAGGAGGCACUAAUAAAUUGUCGAUAAUUGUACAUCCAGCCCAAAAAGUAUCCCAGUGUAGACACAGCCCCGUUAAACUUAUUUUCCCAUUUUCUCAGCUCCCAUCCAUCCCCUCACCGUGGCACACUGAAAAUGGAAGAAAACAAUAAAAAAAACUGAGGAAAUUCUCAGCGAAAAAUGGUGCAAAGGGAUCAGAUCAGCAAGGAUCUUCGCUGCUGUGUUCGGGUACACUAAUCGUUUAUUAUGAUCAACGAGCUGAAUCAAUAAAACCGAAAACGAAGCGCCCACUUCAGGACAUGUCAUCGUGCUGGUUCCCACUCUCAUCCUUGCUUAUUGUGGUUCUCAUUCUCAGUCCCAUUCUCAUCCACAUUCCCAUUACCGUUCUCAGAUCAACCUGUUUCACAGGGUUGGAUGUCCUUUUGUGUGUGCCUUGGAGUGUUACCGUUGCUGGUUGCUGCUUGCUGGUUGCUGGUCGUGAGAAAUGAAUGCACUGAGGGGUAGGGUAACAGGUCCUGUCGCUGGCCCCUUAUGUUGCUGCUGUUGUUUGCUGUUUGCUGGUGUACAGGUAUGCAAAAGUCAAAUUGGUUUGCUAUGGGAAUUUGUCGAAGGUGUCUGGGGCUUGGGAAGGUCUUUUGCGAGCAAAUGUGUGUGCUGGGAAUUCGCUUAGUCCUCCCUUUGUCUGGUGUGAAUAUGCUGGAAGGAAUGAAAAUUGUGGGCGGCAGAGAAACGAUGAGACUUAGCCAUGAAGAAUGGAAAAGAAAGAAGGGGGUGAAGAAAGUUUAUGGGAAAUGGCUAGAUGGAAUCACAAUGUAUGUACACAGUUGACAUUCUGUUCAACGAAAUGUAAAAAUGAAUAAAUAUAAAGGCUAUGGCUUCAGGUGGAGUAUAAGCAUCUCUAAAGUUAUUCCUUUGAAAGUUCUUCCUAUGAAUUAACUAAAAUGUAACCCUCGAACAACUUUAGUUUUGUUGGUUCUCGAUCAACCUCAUCGUUGUUUGUUGAACUCUUUUAACAUUAAUUUCGGACUGUUUCCGAUUCUUUUUGCCAAUUUCCUGUCUGACGUACCAGGACACAGUUUGAAACAUUCACACAAAUUUCGUGCACUUCCUUCCGGUGUGCGGAACUGGCACGGAGAAAGGGAAAACAGAAAAGGGAGAAGAGCACGCAGAAGGAGAUGAGGAUGAGGAUAUUUUGUGUUCACAUCUCGGCCAGACAAUAAAUAGAAAUCUAAAUUGCAAAAUAUGGGCCAGCGGCACUGUCGAGCGAGAGAUAGAGAGAGAGAGAGAGAGAGAGAGAGAGAGGCCUGUGGGAACCAAUUUGAUGUGGGCCCACCCUCGCAUCGAUAAGAUCGUUAGCCGAACGAGAUCUGGGUCUGGGCCCGGACUCUCUAAGGAGGUGCUGAGAAAAUCUCGUUUGUUGUGGCAGAGCAAAAGAUGCAAAAGAUUUCAUUGUUAGCCUGGGAGCAUCGGCUGUGGCAGGGCCAUUGCUCGUUGGCAGUGGCAACAAUGUUUGUUUGUGCGGCAAAACAGGUUAACAGGUAUUUAGCCCAGGGAUCAGUCAGGAUUAGAGUGAUGCCCGAGGAUGCGCACACUCGAGUGGGUGGCCAAAUCAGCAAACAUGUGGAAUCCAUUGGGACUAUCGACGGAGCAUGUUCUAUGUCCCAUAAAUCAGUACGCCCCAUGAAAGCAGGACAUCGGCUUCAAGAAUCAUAGUUCAGAUUUCAUUUGCAUUCCUCUGGCUCCGACCUCGUCGACACAUUAGUCGAGCAAUUAAGCGAAGGACUCGGCUCGGGGCGGCACUCUGGGAAAAGGGAUAAUGGAGAAUGAAAAUAAGUAAAUGGAAUGAAAUGGUAAUUUGAUACGCGCACACUUAUGGAGCGCGUUUCCCAAGGACUCGCAUUGCCACAGCGACAACGGAGCCUCAAACAGGUAGCUCCGCGAGGCAGUCCUUUGAGUCCUGUGUUUCCUGCAGCUCUGUAGUCGCAACGAAUCGCAACGCAAGCAAACAAAUCUACAAUUUCAAUGAUGGAUCGAUUGUGACCUUCGCUUGAGCCUCCGUCGCUCUAUCGUCCUGCGGCCGGUGAGCGUUAAUUAGAUUUGCACCGAGCGGCGCUCAUCAAAGUGUUGGUCAGUGGAAAAAUCACAGACUCAAUUUCGGGCUAAACACCUGUGGGAAAGGACCUCACGCAGCCAAGGACAGCCAAGCGAACAUGCACUUGCACACAUCUCGCUCCCCAGGACGUUCCAUUGACUGACCUUUCCUCUUCUCUCCUUGGCGUUCCCACAUAGGGAGUCGAGUCCCGUUCCCAUUCCCAUUCCCAUCUUCGUUUUCAUUGUUAUUCGCAGUUCCUUUUAUUAAUUUGAAGUGCCCGCAACUCUGGCUGGGUUUUCCUUCCGGUAGAACUCCUCCUCUCCCUUCGGUUCCUCCUUUCAAGAUACCCAGUGCCAUUGUCCAGCCACGGCACUUCCUGUGGGUCACUUGGAACAACAUGUGGCCAAAACAAUCUAUUGUUAAUUAAUUGUGCUGGCCAAGGCGCAGGGGCAGAGGAAAUGAGUGCCUGUCAGUCAAUCGUCGAAGGAGGAGCCAAGGACUUUGCAGUAGCCAAUUAAAUAUUAGCCUUUUUUUUGGCUCAGGCAAGUCUCAAUUUCAAUUUGGUUAAACGCGAAAUGGAGUAGCAUCCACACCAGCUUAAUGACAGAUCUUUCGAGUAUUUGCGGUCCUGCCACCAUUGAACGACUACUUGGGGUACACUUCUGGUGAUAUUCCAUCAGGAAAUGUGCAGGGAUUCGCAUUUGCGACAAUUGCCGACCAUUUUCAAGCGAUGCACUGAGAAGGUAGAUGUAUUUGGACUCUGCAAGCAGCUCUUUGUUUACCUAAGCUCGUUUUUGUAUUUUUCAGAGAAUUGCAACCGUCAUGGAGUUGAAAAAUAAGUAUCUGCCAGAUUUUGCAACUCUCCGAUACACAGAUGUCCGAUGCUAUGAGCUGCAUACAUAUACUAAAUGGUGCAGCUAGAACAUGAAUGCCCGUGAUUACAACCUUCUUCCCGCAGGAGAUUGAGGAAGGAUGGCGGGUCCUUCUUGGGCUACGACCACGCGUACAGCUCUCCAUAGAAGUGGCCGAUUUCCAUCAUGAGUCCGAGUCGGAUAAGGCAGCAGGUUAAUAUUAGCAUUAAUAAAAUUAACAUAAAGAUCCAUAUUGUAAUCAUAUGUAAAUAAAUACAAAGAUGUUUUUACCAAUCCAAA